UACAGAGGGUGCGAGCGUUGUCCGGAAUCACUGGGCGUAAAGGGCGCGUAGGUGGCGGCCCAAGUCCGGGGUGAAAGCUCGCCGCUUAACGGCGAGUCGGCCACGGAGACUGGGUGGCUCGAGCACUGUAGGGGCAGAUGGAAUUCCCGGUGUAGUGGUGAAAUGCGUAGAGAUCGGGAGGAAUACCUGUGGCGAAGGCGGCCUACUGGGCCGGACCUGACGCUGAGACGCGAAGGCGUGGGGAGCGAACGGG
RNAcentral lists this ribosomal RNA (253 nucleotides) under uncultured bacterium. RNAcentral's name for it is "partial 16S ribosomal RNA". It matches the Rfam family "Bacterial small subunit ribosomal RNA", at positions 524 to 776 of the family's 1533-position model. The record is from RNAcentral.